RNAcentral lists this microRNA (23 nucleotides) under Eisenia fetida (common brandling worm). RNAcentral's name for it is "Efe-Mir-2685-P2_3p (mature (guide))". Lineage: Eukaryota; Metazoa; Annelida; Clitellata; Crassiclitellata; Lumbricidae. The record is from RNAcentral.
UAACUCAGUAAGUUCACAUGGUC